GCCCGAGCGAGGGGGGCGGAUCGCGCCCCGCGGGGUCGCGCCAGGCGGCCGCCCAUUGGCCCGGCCCCCCCGCUCCGCCCACGGCGUAUGCAAAGCGGGCGGCUCCGACUCCAGCUCUGCACGGUGCACCCGCCGUCCCCGCCGCGGCCCGCGCCGUCCCCAGCGCCAGCGCCAGCCGCGCGGCCGCGCACCAUUCACCCGGGGGAGAGGCGGGAGAACCUGCGGGUGGGGCAGGGAAGGAAGGGCGGCCGCAUCUCCGCCCCCCUUCCCUUCCUUUAUCCCAGUAGGGCCCAGACCCGCGCAACCAGGCGGGGAGGGGAGGUGGGCGCGCGAUUGGGUUGCGAUCUGGAGCGGUGGGGACAGGUCAGGUAAUUCUGCCGGCGGUCAGGGAUGGGAGAGUGGGGAGGACGGGACCAGCCUAGCUCAGAAUGGGUGUUUCUUGGAGCCUCUGGGACUGUUUUCUUUCCAGGAACCGGGGCGUAUUUCUGCAGUGAGACCCUAGGACGGACAUCGGCGCCUUCGGCUUCGAUGGAGUUGCGAUUUUGCUCUUUCCAGGGAAACAGUGGCAGGGUGUUUGCUGCUUGUCGGUUCCUGCGGAUAUGCCUGGCUCAUGGGUCCCAGGACAUUCCACUGGAGGCUUGGACUGCAUUUAGGAGCCCCUAUCCCUUCCCUGUCCACACUGUUAUUGAGCAAUUUCAUAUGUUUGCAUUUAGACCCAUAGACUCAGAACGACUCAUCACAAACACACACAGUGUACACUCACAUUCGCACACUUAGGUAUACAGCCUGAUCCUUGCUCUGACCCGGUAACAACGCUUCCUCCUCCAGAGACUUUGAGAUAGAGCGAGCGAUCCGUGUGCACCAUUCAUCCAUGCUCCCACCUCGCCAGUAUGGCUGGCUUGUUCUGGAAGGGGCUUAAGAGGAACAAGCCCCAGCUGUGCUUCUGGCUGGGACUUAAGCCCCCCUUCUGGGCCCUAACGCCACGCUUCUUUGUGGACCGGACCUGACUCUCCAGGAACCUGGGAACCCGCUAUUUCACUCUACUUUGGGACAGGAAAAAGGGUAUCUUUGGGGCCACUUCCUGCCUUCCCCUCAAGUAGGAUCUCCAGCCUGCAGAGGGUGCCUAGUCCUUCUUUGCCCAAGAACCAGCCCAAGAAGCCUUUCCUCUGUGCCUGGGAAAUGCAACUUUUUCUUGGGAGCAUGGUAAGGUGUUGGUGCUGAAGAACAAAGCAGCGACCCUUCUUGCAGCUGCCAUGUUUUGUCGAGGGGUUCUGGGGGUCCUGCUGCUUUAGGGCCACAUACUUCCACUUCCUGAUUCACUACUGUGAGCUGGUCAGAUGCCUAGAAGAGGAACAAGCGUUCAAAGUGAAAGUGGGCACAUUACCGGAAUAGUGCUGGGGAGAGUGCUGGAUUCUUUUCCACCCCAGGCGCACUGCCAGGGCUUUGAGCCUCUUAGGUUUUCCAGCCAGACCCGGAAAAACGAAAACACAGCUUGGGGAGCCCCCACUAGCCGGCGCCUGUGCCAGCUCACCUCUGGCCAUGGCGCAGCUGCCGGUGCACACGGCGGCCAAGGCCAGCUCCACAUUCUUCCCUCCCCUCCCACUUCACCGGAGCCCCGAACCCUGCGCGCAGAGAAAGGGUCUCAGCUCCACAGACGACUGGGUCCCUCCUCACCAAAAAUGGUGAGACAAGAUUUCAUCUGUCGGCCGAGGAGCCACAAGCAGGCAGCCAACAAACUGACUUGCUGUGGCUGAAGAAAGUUUGGAGGACAAUUAAGAUGAGUGUGCUCUGGGAAGCAAGCACAGACCCUCCUAGCAUUCUUCCUCUUUUCCCAACGGCAAGGUCAAGAUGUGCUUGCCUGCCAAGGUACCACAAAGCCACUAGCGCACAGGGAUUCAGAAAAGACGGCAGGAGCCCAAGGAAAACUCCAAUUUGAGUACAGCCCUGCCCUGUUUUCCCCAGAGAGUCCCUGAGCAAGGAGACCUCCACCCCACACACACCAUUUCAGAACAAUCAGGUUCCAGACUCCCAUGAGGAGCAUCUCCCACUCCACAGCCUUGGCCAGCCGCGCCCGGACUCCUCAGAGCUGGCCCAAACUCCGGCCUCCAAAACUCGGCUCUGGGAGGCCUAAAUGACUCCGAAGCCGGCGGCGGCCGUGGCAGCGGCCGUGGUGGUGGAAGAGCUCUUUUCCCCGACAGUGCCACUGAUCGCUCUUCACUGGCACUGGAAACAGCCUUCGCGGAAAGGACCGGAGCAUGCGUUAGAAGCAGAGGGAGCUUGGAGAAGGGUUCAGCUGGAAGGAGGAAACGCCUUCUCGCAGUGCGCGGCCAGCCCGCGGGGGACACCGGCUUGCUGGACUGCGGGGGCCUGUGCCACCCAGGGAGUGACCUGCGGGUCACUCAGCCGGGGCGCUGGGCGAGCGCGGGACGGCCCGGAGAAUUCCGUGCGGCUGCGACGGGAAAAGGACGAGGGAUCUCUGUACCCGACGCUGCCACUGGCCCAAAGGAAUUUUACCCGCGAGCGCCCACCCCCACCCUAGCUUGAUGCUUACGCCCGCAACAAAACAGGAAACCAGGACCGGGCAGUGCAUUCUUUAAGUCAACAAAUACACUGAAGACUUCGAGCGUGUGAAGGAAGUAGGGGGUUUGCACGUAAGCCUGGCCCCGCCGGGCUCGGCUUUCUCGCUGAGAAAGCGGCGCAGGCAGCCAGGCGGCCUGGGCCCGCGGGGGUCCAUCUCGCCCUAGACUCCUAAGAACUCCCACGGCCCUGUUCCCAGUUGCGAAUUCUUACUGCACAAAGCGACGGAGGGAAGGAAAUUCACCAGCGCAGCGAGGAGGAAGGUGAACUCAGGACCCCUUCAAGUACACACUGAGGUGUGAUCAGAGUUUUAUGGGCACGUUAUAUGCUGUAAUCAUAACGAUGUGUGUGCCUUGAUAUGCACGCAUAUUCACGCAUCAAACGUGCAUACACACACAGAGUGAAUGUGUGCAUCCAAUGUCAUGUGGGUGAAAUACAGGUAUCAUACCCAGCCCUACGAAAAAAAAUUCGCCCUGUCGGACCAGCCUGGUGACAUACUUCGCUGGUGCAUCUCCUUACUCACUCUUACUUUUCCGACCCCUCACCAUUCCCUCUCCUGUGGCUUGGUAAAUACACCUGUCCUCCGUGGAAGGUGAGUCCUGGACUGGCGUUGCCCGGUUCGCAUGUCCUCCCCAGAACCUCCGUCUGGCCCCAGGGACCCUCACUGAGCGGGUCUAGAGCACCCAGCACUGUUCAAGGAGCAGCCGCUGUUCCUUUGUCCCGCAGCUCCAGCCCCGUUCGGCCCAGCUCUCAGGGAAACGAAGCGCUCAGUAAGAACUUUUGAUAUUAGUUUGUAUGGGUAUUUACACUCUGGUGAGGGGAGCUGAGUACGGAAGCUCCAUUAAUCAUACCCCAACCUCGGGUUUAGAUAUUCAGUUUAUGGGUGGGGAGAGGGAGUUUGCCGGAAAGAAAGCAUCAAGGUUGGCCGCUGACUCCAGAGAAAUGAAAAGGGAGCAAGGUCGUUUUCUGUUUCUGGAAAUCAAGAAUUAGGAAUGGGCAAAUACAGGUGCUAACCAACAGACCACUUUUUUGUUUUUUGGUAGCCCUUUGGCAGGGAUAGUUUUUCCACCUUUGCCCGAUACAAUUUUUUUAAAAAAAUCCUUUUGUUAUGGAAUUUGUCAAACACACACACAAGCAUAACAAACCCCUAUGUAUCCAGCUCCUAGUUUUGACCCCUAUUAUAAUUUCAUCUUCAAUGUUUUAUUAUCCACUUCCUCUCUCUCUAUCUUUAGUAUUUUAAAGUAAAUCCCAGAUAGCAUCACAUCAUUUCACCCCCACCAUAGGAUUUCAAAGAUCUGUUAUAUUUCAAGAUUGAGUAAAAGGGCUUGAAAUUGAGUUAUUGCAAUGAAACUCUAGAAAAAACUUGAGGGUUCACCCAGGAGUAAGCUGGACAAAAAAGGGGUUUGAGGGGUGGACCCAUCUUGCCUAAAAAUCUUGUCUCAUCUUUCUAAAAAUUACAUAUGAAAGAGGAAGAUUUAUGUUACCUUUUUAUGUGAGAGAAUCGUCCUUUAAUAGAAAAUUUCUGUUGCUGCGUCAGAAUUAUGGGGGAACACAAAAAACCUACCUCUGUCCUUAGUGUGUCCUAAAUAAACAUAUAUUCACUUAUUAGUGGGUAAGUGACUAUAUUCUAUUUCAGCACCACUCCUCCCCUGGUAGAAACUCAAAAGAAAUUUCUAAUGAUUAAACUAGGAAAGUUUGCACUGAAUUGAUGGCUCAUCAGAGCAACAGCUGUUUUCAGGAAGAAAUUCAAUGCCAUGCAUUGAAAAUAUCCCCCUAGCAAUAGGGGUUGUUUUUUUUUUUUAAAGAAUGAAUAAAGGUGUUAUGGUUUCUUUUGUUUUAAUCUGGUAGUCUAAUUUACGAUAAGCAUGAUUCUCCCUGUCAAACUCUGAAAGUGACUUAACUGAAAGCCUUGGCAACUUCAGAAAGCAAAAAGGUAAAAACAGAAAAUAGCACACUGUUGAAUUUGACAACUUUUACACUACCCAG
This is a long non-coding RNA of Pongo pygmaeus (Bornean orangutan), 4563 nucleotides long. RefSeq lists it as uncharacterized. The transcript has 4 exons. The record is from RefSeq and is a predicted model, not a curated record. NCBI's taxonomy places the organism in Eukaryota, Metazoa, Chordata, Mammalia, Primates, Hominidae.